Molecule: transfer RNA, 69 nt
Filed under: Ailuropoda melanoleuca (giant panda)
Lineage: Eukaryota; Metazoa; Chordata; Mammalia; Carnivora; Ursidae
Rfam family: tRNA
About the family: Transfer RNA (tRNA) molecules are approximately 80 nucleotides in length. Their secondary structure includes four short double-helical elements and three loops (D, anti-codon, and T loops).
Source: Rfam by way of RNAcentral
GCCUAGCUGGCUCAGUAGAGCAUGUGACUCUUGAUCUCAGGGUCAUGAGUUCAAUCUACCUGUUGGGCA